AGAAUUUUAAUGGUCGAACAGACCAACCCUCAAAGGCUUCUACACCUUUUGGAUAUUCUGGUCCAACAUCGAGGUCACAAACCUUUUUUUCGAUAAGAACUCUCAAAAAAGAUUAUGCUGUUAUCCCCACGGUAACUAAUUCCUUUAAUCAUAAAGUAUGGAUCAACACCUGUAAGUAAGUUUUUAAUAAGAAGCUUUUUUUGUUCCUUAGUCGCCCCAACCAAAAUCUUUAACAAUUAGUUUUAUAUAAAUAUAGAACUUAAAAUGUUAAUUUUUUUUAAGCUCGAUGGGGUCUUCUCGUCUUUUAAUUUAACUUAGGCUUCUUCACCUAAAUAUAAAAUUCUAUAAAAUUAAAAAGAGACAGUUAUACUCUUGUCAAACCAUUCAUUCCAGUCCCCAAUUAUAGGACAAAUUAUUAUGCUACCUUUGCACAGUCAGGGUACUGCGGCCGUUAAAAUAUUCACCGGGCAGGUCAGACUCUUUAUAUAAAAAUAUCAAAGAGCC
This 504-nucleotide ribosomal RNA is filed under the name Sigapatella tenuis. Its description in RNAcentral is "partial 16S ribosomal RNA". Lineage: Eukaryota; Metazoa; Mollusca; Gastropoda; Littorinimorpha; Calyptraeidae. The record is from RNAcentral.